Molecule: ribosomal RNA, 305 nt
Filed under: uncultured bacterium
Lineage: Bacteria
Description: bacterial SSU rRNA
Rfam family: Bacterial small subunit ribosomal RNA
Source: RNAcentral
GCCUACGGGGGGCAGCAGUGAGGAAUAUUGGUCAAUGGUCGGGAGACUGAACCAGCCAAGCCGCGCGAGGGAUGAAGGUACAGAGUAUCGUAAACCUCUUUUGUCAGGGAACAAAGGCGGGGACGCGUCCCCGGGUGAGUGUACCUGAAGAAAAAGCAUCGGCUAACUCCGUGCCAGCAGCCGCGGUAAUACGGAGGAUGCGAGCGUUAUCCGGAUUUAUUGGGUUUAAAGGGUGCGCAGGCGGUCUGUUAAGUCAGCGGUCAAAGCCCGGGGCUCAACCCCGGCCCGCCGUUGAAACUGGCAGU